AAGAUUCCCGUAGGUACAUUUGGAUCAAUUCUAUUGUGUAUUCCUCCUAGCCUCUUGAUAUUGGUGGUCCUGGCUAUGGCAUCUUUCAAAGUAAUGGUUCUUAGCCUCUUGGCCAUCGGUAUAGGGCUUCUUCUGCAACCUUGUUUAAGUUACAGUGAGAAAAAGGGAUGGUUCAGAUUCUCCGCAAGUUCUGAUCUCCCGGAUUGGGAUUACAAUAAUCACAGGCCCAUUGAGCCAUAGACUGAACAAUGGAACUUCUAUGUUGAUGGUGCAAGUGAAACUUUUAUUUGUUUCUAGCAUUGUGAUGGGGUUUUCCUUGGCAAUUUAGAUAAUAACCAUUGUUAAUGGUGUAAGUGAGCUAUUUAUUUUUUCUGGCAUUCACUUAAAAUUAUUUUCUCUGACAUUGUAGCAUAAGUGUCUACUAUUUCAAGUUUUAUUCAAUAACUAGGUAUUGAAUUAGUAUAAAAUUAUUCAGGAAACCAAAUCUUUAUCCUACUUAAGAUAAUUUAAUGACAGAUCAUUAGAUUAACAACAAUUUUUUCUCAUAAAAAAUAUUGAUUUUUAGAUAUUUCAAUAGGUUUUACUUUUUACGGUAAAAACAAGCUUUAAUGUGAUCUGUAAACCCAACUACUGUUACUGUCCAUGCAUGGCUAAAAGCUAGCAUUUUACAACCAAAUUUAAAUAAAAAUAAGUUAACUAUAACAGUUACAGCUAUAAAAUUUGCAUAUUUUUCUUUAAUCCACAGACACCACAGCAACAAGAACGGUUCAUAAGGUGAACAGGUGCGUUUAACAGGAACUACAUGCAACCUGCUUUAUCUUCACAAGAAGUUGAGGCACUUUGUUGAUGUACGAUAGAAAUCACGAGGUCGUCCCGUCUCAUAGAAUUGCAAUCACAUGCCGAAACCAAUAUCCCUUUAUAGUGAGGUUAAAUGUUUUAUUAGAAAGAGGAGUAACAGACUCUUCUUCAAAAUCGAAAAGAUACUUCUUCUUUAACACAUUACUUUUGCCUCUGCGCAGCCUGUCAUCAUUAAAGAAAGGUUAGAAAACCAGUGACAAUCAGGAAAUGCUAUAGUUAAUAGUAAAUGAUCUUGGGAGACUGAAAAAAUAAAAAUUAAAAAAAAGUGAAAGCAAAGUGAUAAAUGGACACCGGACGAAGAAAGAAAUAUUGAUGAUGAGAAUAUGAAAUGAAUGCGAACGGCCCACUAUUAUCUCAGUUGUUUGAAAUUUAAGGCAGACACGCUUAUGCACAAUAGUAUACUUGUAAAUAAGAUUUGAUUUCACUAUAGGCAGGUCAAUAGGAAUCCAGCUAUAGAGCUGAAAUGAUGCCCACAAAGAACAUUAAGAAUGUGCUUAUUUUCGGGGAAGUAGAAGUCCAAAGUGGGCCAUCUCAUAUCUAAACAAUAGAAGUCCAAAAAUGCUUAUAUCAAAGUUCACAAAUCAUGCAUUUAGAUAUACUCUUUCAAAAGCAACGGAGAAAUAAGGCAACUGAAAUCAUGGGUGAGAAAAUCCCAUAAUUAUCAUUCAAGCACAAUGUCUGUUCGGGUCUACUACUAAAAUACUCACCAUUCACUAACUAGAAUUUUUUGUCUUCUUCAAAUUCUUUUGCUAUCUCAUAUACUGGCAUCUACCAGACUUGAUAUGGGUUCGAGACACCUAUAUUAUGUAGAAAUGUAAUUACAAAAAAAAAAUUAUGCAACCAUUAUUCACAUUAAAUAUCAAGCAAGGCCCAAACACAGGAAUUGCAGCAAUCAGUUGCACGAUACCACAAGCACCGAUGACAUGCAUCUAUGGAGUGUCCAAAAGAUAUAUUAGCGCAAAGAGAAUACCAACUAUUUCAUUAGAAUUACUGGCAUUGUUAAAGAGGCCAAGCUUAGAAAUAUCUCCAAGUUCACAAUUCAUUUAUCAUGUCAACUGUCCGUAGAUCUGAAUUAUGAUUAUAAAUAUCCUCUUAUUCCAUAUCUGAUCAUAAAUUGAUUAUAACUGCAACAUGGACUGCAUCGACAUUUUAAUUGGCCCAGUUAGCCCAGGAAACUAAAAUGACUCCUUGUUGGAUCCUUCCCCUCACAUCGCCUCCCAAAUGUCACUCAUCCCAACCCCUUAGGAAAUCCUAAACUGACUGUUUCUUUAUUUGCUCAUGUAAAAGUAACAAAGAUCAAACAUGAAAAUAAGGCUUCCUAUUUCGAGUGAGUGAUGCCAAGAUUUUACAAGGUCAAAUGCCAAGACAAAUGGAAAAUAGCAUGGUAAAUGCAUGUCCAUAGAAAAUAAAUUUAUAUGCUAUAAAGUGAGGACACAAGAAUAACAUGCUGAAUGAAAUAAAUAACAUUUUCAAGGCAGUAGCACCCACCUUUUUCAACUUGUCCAGUACUGAUUCUUCAAAAGCCUGAUAUCCAGCACCAACAAGAUUACUCAGUUUCGGAACAUCGGAUUCUGUAUUAGCCUCUACACCAAAGUUAACUGGUGACGAAGCUGGUUGAAGAGGCAACACUAGAAGAGGAUUUGAGAGAUCCCCCAAGACAUUCCCAGUAGCAGCAUCCUGUCAAAGAAAAUGCCCCUUCAGAGACUAGAUGAUAAACUACAAAAAUCAAUUUGGGAGGAAAGAAAUUCAUUAACGAAAAAAAGGUUUAAAAAAAAAAAAAAAACAUACAGCUGCAUCUUUAGACCCCAUUACAACAAGGGCAGACCCUUUCUUCUUGGAACUCUUGAUGACUACAUCUUCCACCACACCAAACUCCGCAAAAAUUUCCCUGAGUCUUUGAGCUGUAUAGUCUUCGCCGGUCUUCUCCCAUGAAACCUUAAGAACCUUUUCCUUGUUUAACCCGCUACCACCAUCAUCCAUAUUACUUUUUCCCCUUGCAUUGGUAUCUUUCGUUGAAGGAGUUGUAGUAGCAGAUCCUUUGUUACUAUGCAUUGUACGAAUUCUAGCAAUCUCUUCCUUAAGCUUCCUAGCAAUUCUCUCUUCCUCUUCUCGAGCUCUCGAGCUGGGGUCAGGAGCAAAAGCAUAUCGCUCUCUUUCUUCGAGAUCUGACAUCAUCUUCCGGCGCUUGGAGUCCUGUUGUGACUGGCGUUGAAACUUUUCUCGUUUCACCCGAAGCAGAUCAUCAAACAACUUUCUAGCUUUUUCAUCCUUUAGGAUCGCAUAUGAUGUCGUAAGCUUUUGAAAAUUGUCAUGCGCAUUAGGGUCAUCAGGUCUCUUAUCUGGGUGCAAUUCCAAGGCCUUCAGUCUGUAAGCUUUUGUAAUUUCUUUCUCCGAAAGCUUGGCACCUUCUUCACCAGAUGGCAAGCCCAAAACAACAUAAUGGUCGAUUUCACCAUCCAUAUCUUCAACUCUUUAUAGUCUACACACGGAGAAAUGAAAAACAGCAAAUAAACAAUAGAAUGUCAGGAACAUUUAACGUAACACAUGGUGUAAUACAACAGGCAAUGUUACAGCAUUUAUAAUAAUUUAUUGUUCACAAAUGCAAAAGGAAAACCAUAAACGGACAUAAAAAAAUUUCAAUAGAGACAAUGUCGAGAAAAUCUUUGUUGCAUAAGGAAGCCUACCAUCAACAAACAACAAUUUUGGAAAAAAUAAAAAACAAAAAUCUCUGGGCCUGCUUUCCAAUUUUUAUCCACCCACUGUUUAUGAGAGAUUAGGAAAACAAGUUAUUGUUAGUUUGAAGCACAAGUAAUUCUAGUGAAGUGUAAUUUUUGUUGUAUUUCUGAACCCACAAAAAUCAGUGAAUUUUUGCCCAUUUUCAUAUUUUCUUUCAAUUUCACCCUUUCUAAAACAAUUAUUUCAAAUCUACUCUAAAAAGAAAUGAAAAUUGGAUAAAAAGAAAAGAAAUUCCUCUUCAAAUAAGCUUAAAAAAAUUAUCUUCACAAAUAUAUUCGUUUUUAGUCAUUAAAUUGUAAAGAGUGAUGUCCUCCAUAUUGUUCACACAUAUCUACCUUUCUUUUAAAAGAGAUAUAUACAUAAUUUGAUUCUUUUAAAAGAAUUUCAGAACCGCUGAAUAAUAAUUCUCAAGAAUGAAUUAGACAGUUUAAAAAAUGGCUACUAAAAACCACCCAAAAGACUUUAAGAAACCCUAUAACCGAUAGCCAAAACUCCCAACCGAUUUCUGAGGAGCUAAAAGAUGAGAAUGGCGAUAAAUAAGUGUUGAAAUUAAAUUCUUCACAACAAUCAAAUCCAGUGCGAAAUCAACAGAUAAAGCCUGUUUUUACAAAAAUCAUACCUUCUGAAUUUCGUGAUGAAGAAGUUGAAUUACCGGAGUAGGAAUCACAGCAAAACAAGAGAAAUUGGUGGCAAAAGCUAACCCCGCCGAUUAUGUCCUCCUAUUGCUCGACGAACAAGACUUAAAAACCGGCCUGGAAUUUGGACAUGCUCUUUCGAAUUAAUUGUCUUUUAAUUAGGCUUCAGAUUGCUUAAAUACCUAAAAAUUAUACGUAAAGUGGAAAUUACACCAUACGCCUUAUUUUUAUAAAAUAUUCAAAUUAUAUUAUUAAAUACUUUUUAAAUAAAAAAUACGUCUUAAAAAAGCGAAAUUGCAUCUCUCGUCAAUUAAUUGAUUCUCUGGCUAUAAUCAUUUCACCAAACACGCCUCAACACUCCAAGUUAUGUUGCCAAAAAAAUCCCAAAUUUUAGUCUUAUUGAUUACAUCAAAAUCUAGGUUUUAUUUAACACAUUGUGCCAUUAUAUCCAUAUCCAUGACGCGAUUUUGCAUUUACCCAUUUUGGCUAUUGUUCUUGGUUAUGGUUAUAGAGGAUGGGAUAUUUGGCUGUGAAAUGUUUCCAAGAAAUGCAAAGUUAGGGAAUCAAGGGGGAUUGCAUCACAUUUUCCACCAUCAAGAAAGGCAGUUCUGCUGCUUCUAUCCCUAUUUGGAAUGAUUUGGUUCACAAUCAUAUUUGUGCUAUCAACGUAUAGUCAUUCAGGUCUUAUAGAAGAGAGUCUUGAAAUUCAACAACACGAGAGUCGGAUGGUGGUAUACUCAAAUUAGUUACAUUGCAAACGACGAUAUAAGUGUAUAUAUAUAAAAUUACAGCAAUUAAGGUAAACAGUCCCUGAACAUUCCAUUGCUACUGGACAAUAAUCAGAUUACAUGGAAUAUCCAAAGUUGCAGUAAUCUUGGUUAAAAAUUAAAUAUACACACAUUAUCUGUAAUCAUUCUGUAAAAAAUUUCUAGAAGAUAAUUCAAAGAGAUCACUCGUCAGACGUCACACAUAAUGAAUAUCUCACUGAAACCAAUUUGUCACGAUCGCCAAUAGUGAGUGCUCUUAACUCAUAUCCAUAUGUUCAUCGUACAGAUUUAACGCUACUCAUUUUUUCCAUCUUUGAAAAAUUUCCAGUUACAAUAUCCAAAAAGCAAAUUUUAUUAUACAGUAUUCUUGGGAUUUUAAUAGGGUUAUGUAGUAAUUUCGGUUAUUACUUGGGUUUAAUAGUAUAAAAUAAAUUAUUAUAUAUUAAUCAUCUAUAUUAUAUAUGAUUUUUAUGUAAAACUACACGACGGAAAUUAUAAUUGUAAAAAGGAAAAAUUACACAACUAGGCUACACUUAGGGCAAAGUUAAAUAAAAAAAAUCUUGUAAAUGCACAAGAUCUUUAGAUUUAGGUGUAAAUCUUAUAUUGUACAUAAAUUUUUGACGAGUUUGGAAUUUUUUAACAGAAAUCCUACAUUCAAUAAGUUAAAUGAUUGUCUUAAAAUCUUCAAUGCACUCAUGUGAGAAAAUUAAGCAAAAUCAUGAUUUUAAGAUUUAAUUAUCAUUAAUCAAACUAUUAAAAAUUUUCUUUAAAAAUCAGGCUUUUAUUAUAGACAAUAUGUAAGUUUAAUAUUUUUAAAUCUAUAUUAUCAAAUAAUAUAGUCUAGUAAGUAAUCUCGAAUUUGAAAAUUAAUUUCCAUCUUAAACGGAUUUCAAAAUCACAUAAUUUGGAGAGAGAUAAUUAGACUUUGAAUAAUUAAAUUCAGCAUUUGCAUUCUCAAGUUCUAAAUGAAGCCUUCAAUCUUGAAAUCAUGUCAAUAUUAUCGCACGCGAAGUCAUAAUUUUCAAAGAAACAUAUUUUAGGCCACAUUUCGAAGAGAGAAAUACAAAAUAGUGUCACAUAUUUACAUAUUCCUAUUACUGUCACAUACACAAUCUAUUAAAUCAAUAUCACAUGACAUUUUAUAAAUAAUUUAAGUCACAAUCACUGAACCUCAUAAGUCACAACCAUACAACAUAACGAUAAUCUUCACACGAAAUGAUAAUAUUUCAAUCACACGUCUACGGUCAUAAUCUUAAAUUGUACAUGCAUACUUGCAACUAUAGAUUGUUACAAUUUUGUGACUAGUCUGGUCACAGAACCUGUAUGUCCCAAUUACACAAUAUAUUAGGUCAAAGUCAUAAUUUUCAAGCAAAAUGAUCGAAAAAUAUUGUAGGCAUCAAUGUGUGUGAUUGGAACAAUUGUUCACAAACAAUAGUUUAACUUACGUGCCAUACCAAUAGAUGCAAAAUCAAUGUAAAAAGAGUGAUAAAUUAUUCUGGAAAAAAACUGCUCAAAAGAAGGAAACAAUAAUUCCACAGAAAUCACAUAGUGAAUUUGUGAGAACAUUGAACAAGAAGAUAGCUGAUUGUUUUUUUUAGUUAGUAAAAAGAUAAAAAAGAAUAAUAUCAAUUACCCAUUAUCAAUCCUCAAUCCUCAAUAUAAGUUAAUUUAUUCUCUUACUUAAAAUCAUCUAUUUAUAAUUUUAGGAAAGAUAAUACUAAUUUAUGACCUGAUUUUUAAAAGAAUUCUAUAGAUUUGAUAUUUUAAUAGUUAAGAUUUUUUCCCAUCCUAAUAUCUCAGAAAUUUCAGAUUAUGCACUUCCAUCAAACGAAGUGCUUAUUGCAUGUAAAGAAUAUUACUAUAACAAACAGAACAUAAAUAUAUGUCCAAUUAUUAUUUAACAUAAUAAUACAGAACAAGCCAGAUACAGGAAAGCAGCGUGAACAAAAAUUGUCCAGCAAACAGAAGUUCCCAAAAAGCCCCUUUCACCCUAAUACCGCACUACAUAAGUAGGAUCGACAUAAUGACUUAAAAGAAUACAGUAUCUAAUCGGUUUCCUCAAAAGAAUAUGAACGUCUUAAUGCCUUGGCUUUUCUAGGGCUCAUUGAGACUCGACUUUUAUUAUUAAAACCGGAUAAAGAAAAUCCACAAACUAAGAAAAUUAAUGUCACAGGGCAUAUCAAACAGAAAUAGAGUAAAAAGAUCGUCCCUUCUCAUCAGUUAGAUACAUCCCGGCUGUAGUAUUGAUCGAGUGUCUUUGCUGGUAUACGGUGGAGGAGUUCCCGUGGAAAGAUCCGGAGAAGAGUCCAUGCCAGAUCAAGUGACUGGAAGAUGUUGCGGGUGUCAUAGGCCCCUUGGGCAACAAAUUUCCUCUCAAACUUGUCGAGGAACUCGAGAUAUAGCUGUUAAUUCAAGUGGGAGAUGUAUUAGUUAUUGUAAUUAUUACUUUAAAUAAAAUUGAAUCGACAAACUUAUUCUAUAACGGACCAGAUCCUCCGACGAAAGUGCUUCUUCUCCAACCACGGCUUUCAUUGCCUGGACAUCUUUUCCAAUGGCAUAAUUUGCAUAUAGCUGGAAAAUCAGAAAGACGGUAAUUAAACAUGCAAUAGAAAAAUGCAAAAUUUGAAUUUAUUACAUUAAAACUAAAAACAAUGCUAUCUAGCACCAGUGCCGCUAGAGUACAAGUCUAGUUGUCUACAUUUUAUAGAUUCAAUUAAAUGAGUCACAUGACUUUGUAUUUAAAUAAUUCUAUCAUUUAAUGAUGUAUAAUAGUCACCUAGACUGGUGCUUAACUCCGGUGGUGAUUAAUAGCAUUACUUUUAAAACUAAUCAACAGUGAAAACUGCCAUGUGGGAGGAGGGUGGUGGUUCUUUAAUCGAUCUGUACCAAUUGUAUAACAUGGAAGUCACAGCUGCAGCCUUUAGUUACAUUGUCAAGUACUGAGGCAGAAUAUGUUGCCAUAACUGAGGCGGCUAAAGAAUGUACUUAGUUAAAAGGAAUUUUAAAAGAAUUGAACUUCAUGCAUGAUACACCUGUUAUGUUUACUGAUAGUCAAAGUGCUUUAUUGCUUUGUAAAAAUCCUGUUUACCAUGAAAGAACUAAACAUAUUGAGGUAAAGUAUCAUUUUAUACGUGAGAAACUGUCUCAAGGUGAAGUUAAUCUCGUUAAAAUUCACACUGAUAGGAAUCCCUCUGACAUGGGAACAAAAAUUCUACCUGCAAGUAAAUUUAGAUUGUGCUUAUCUUUAUUACACAUUGACACUGGUUAAUUUUUCUUGCAGGUGGUGGGCGAUGAUGAUAAACAGUUCUUCCAUGUGCAAAUUCGCAACCAAGAGAGAGUGUUAGGAGAACCAAGGUGAAGAAUGUGAGGAUAUGGUUCACCUAACCCCACCCAAUGUUGUGACUUGAUAGUAGUGAGGUUGACACAAUAUAUGGUCUUCCACGUUUUGGCAGAGGCAUGGUCUUCCUACCUUCCCCUUCAGAUGUACUCUCUAUUAUUUAAAUGGAGGGGGCAGCUCUCGGUCCAAAUAAUCCCCAGCAGAAGGUGGAGCUCUCGGUUUUUCAUAGAAGGGUGGUGGUUCUUCAUUGGUUUUUCCCCCUCUCUCUUUGGAAGGCAAUUGGCAUAGCAUGGGGCUGUUCCUGAGCCUGGAAAAACACCCAUAAAUCUAAGAAGAAGCUGCUGAAACGAAGAAGAAGAAGCUGGACAGAAAUGGGCAGAAUAAAGGGGUUGUAUUCUUCCGAUUUUAUUUUCUUGUUUUUGACUUGAAUCUUGUUUGUUGAUUGUUGUUUUGGUUGUUUGAACUCCUAGGAUCCCCAACAAUAUUUAAUAAAAAAAUAAUAUUAUCCAUAAUGAGUCAUUGCAGUAGUCAUUUUAUAUAGCAAAUUCUUAUUUUAGCUAUUGACAUAUUAAAAAAUGUAUAAUAUAUGAAAAUUAAGAAAGGAGUAUUAUUGAGAUUUUGUACGAAAGAAUUCUUUUCCUAUCAAAAUAAUCUAUAUAAUAAUAAUAAUAAUAAAUAAAUAAAUAAAUAAAUAAACAUAUAAAUAAAAUUGUUGAAAUGUUUAAAAAUCAUUACCCUUAUUUUGCCCCCGGUCAACUAAGCAAGUAUAAUAAAUUCCCCACAUUAAAAACCCCCAAAAAUGGGAAUUCAUUUAGAAAGAUCCGCCGUCUCUAGCACACUGCACACCUUCUUCCAUUCCUUAACGUUCCAUGGUUAGUACCGCGCUUCUUGACAUUGUAAAUCCCCCAAUUUCCAUAUCAGAUCACCGUGCAGUGCAAUACACGGGUAAAAUAUUUCAAACUAAUAAUAUUAUGGCUAUUUAGUUAAAAUUGGAACUCUACAUCUUUUUCAUGUUUCUGAUAUUGUUGAUUCGGUGAUUUUUCAUGGUUUGUUGAGGGGGUCUGUGGAUUAUUAUGAGGGAUAAAAUCAACGAAAUUUUGGAAAUCAGGAUUAAUGAUUUUUUAUUAAUUGAUAAAAGUUUAUUCUUGUUUAGAUUUACAUGUCCUAGGUAUCUAUUGUUUUGAUCUUUAAAUUUCUUGAGGUGUAUAUGGCAACUGGAUCUAUUAUUUUGAAUUGGUUGCAUUUCAUGAGAGCUUAAGCUGCUAUGCUUUAUCUAUAAAUUAUGCAAUUUGAUUUUCAUGUUGACUUGCAGACAUUCUGUCCACUCUCAAAUAUUUUGCUUCAAUUGUUUGUUGAAUGUGCUUGGAUUAUCUUGUUUCCAACUUUUUUUCUCUUGAGCAAUUCAAUAUCUGUAAAAGUUCAUCAAUUGACUUUUUGGAGAGAGGCACAAAUCGAAAUGAACGAAUUGAGAGAGCUCGUUACUAUAUUGCUUUCUUGAUAUUUUGCCCUGUCCCUUUCAGAUAUCUGCCUCUCCUUUUACUACCUACCAUGAGUAUAUUCAAUUUUGAUAUUGCACACAGAAACAAAGAGCUUCUUCUGCUAAGUUAACAACUAUUCGGAUGAGGGAAGACAAUAAUGUUGAGUACGUAGGUUUGGAGGAUGGUGUUUCUCCCAAGUUACAAAACUUCAAUAAGGUUUCAAUUAUACCUCUUGUUUUCCUGAUAUUUUAUGAGGUCUCUGGUGGACCUUUUGGAGUUGAAGAUAGUGUCCAGGCUGCUGGUCCUCUUUUAGCCUUGCUUGGCUUUCUACUUUUCCCAUUGGUAUGGAGUGUACCAGAAGCCCUAAUAACUGCAGAAUUGGGUACCAUGUUCCCUGAGAAUGGAGGUUACGUGGUUUGGGUUUCAUCGGCAUUGGGUCCUUACUGGGGAUUCCAGCAAGGGUGGAUGAAGUGGCUAAGUGGAGUUAUUGACAAUGCGCUUUAUCCUGUUUUAUUUCUAGAUUAUCUGAAAUCUGGUAUACCAAUUCUAGCAGACGGUUUCCCUCGGAUUAUGGCAGUGCUUGUGCUGACAUUAAUGCUCACUUACAUGAACUACCGGGGUAUGACCAUAGUUGGAUGGGUUGCUAUAUUGUUAGGGGUGUUCUCUCUACUUCCUUUCUUGUUUAUGGGAGUUAUAGCAAUUCCUGAAUUGGAACCUUCAAGAUGGUUUGUGCUGGAUUUGAACAAUGUGGAUUGGGGAUUAUUCUUAAAUACUCUGUUCUGGAAUUUAAAUUAUUGGGAUUCAAUCAGUACUCUAGCUGGUGAGGUUGAAAAUCCUGGUGGAACACUCCCCAAGGCUCUAUUCUAUGCCCUUAUAUUGGUUGUACUCGGAUACUUUUUUCCCCUUCUCAUUGGCACGGGAGCUGUCCCCCUUGAUCGUGAGCUGUGGAGUGAUGGGUAUUUCUCCGACAUAGCAAACAUCCUUGGUGGGGUAUGGUUGAGACUUUGGAUUCAAGGGGCUUCUGCUCUAUCAAACAUGGGGAUGUUUGUGGCUGAGAUGAGCAGUGAUUCAUUUCAACUUCUCGGGAUGGCUGAAUGCGGGAUGCUUCCUGAAUGUUUUUCCAAGAGGUCUCGCUAUGGAACUCCUCUUCUUGGGAUUUUGUUUUCCGCAUCUGGUGUGAUAUUGCUUUCGUGGCUUAGCUUUCAGGAGAUUGUUGCCGCGGAGAACUUCCUUUACUGUUUUGGAAUGAUAAUGGAAUUCGUAGCUUUCAUCAAGCUAAGAAUUAAGCACCCUGCAGCAUCUCGACCGUACAAGAUUCCCGUAGGUACAUUUGGAUCAAUUCUAUUGUGUAUUCCUCCUAGCCUCUUGAUAUUGGUGGUCCUGGCUAUGGCAUCUUUCAAAGUAAUGGUUCUUAGCCUCUUGGCCAUCGGUAUAGGGCUUGUUCUGCAACCUUGUUUAAGUUACAGUGAGAAAAAAGGAUGGUUCAGAUUCUCCGCAAGUUCUGAUCUCCCGGAUUGGGAUUACAAUAAUCACAGGCCCAUUGAGCCAUAGACUGAACAAUGGAACUUCUAUGUUGAUGGUGCAAGUGAAACU
This 11404-nucleotide long non-coding RNA is filed under the name Olea europaea (common olive). RNAcentral's name for it is "long non-coding RNA (OEUR_LNC006380)". The record is from RNAcentral. Lineage: Eukaryota; Viridiplantae; Streptophyta; Magnoliopsida; Lamiales; Oleaceae.